CCUACGGGAGGCUGCAGUGAGGAAUAUUGGUCAAUGGACGAGAGUCUGAACCAGCCAAGUAGCGUGAAGGAUGACUGCCCUAUGGGUUGUAAACUUCUUUUAUAUGGGAAUAAAAUGUUCCUCGUGAGGGAUUUUGUAUGUACCAUAUGAAUAAGGAUCGGCUAACUCCGUGCCAGCAGCCGCGGUAAUACGGAGGAUCCGAGCGUUAUCCGGAUUUAUUGGGUUUAAAGGGAGCGUAGGUGGAUUGUUAAGUCAGUUGUGAAAGUUUGCGGCUCAACCGUAAAAUUGCAGUUGAAACUGGCAGUCUUGAGUACAGGAGAGGUGGGCGGAAUUCGUGGUGUAGCGGUGAAAUGCUUAGAUAUCACGAAGAACUCCGAUUGCGAAGGCAGUUCACUGGACUGCAACUGACACUGAGGCUCGAAAGUGUGGGUAUCAAACAGGAUUAGAUACCCCGGUAGUC
RNAcentral lists this ribosomal RNA (460 nucleotides) under uncultured bacterium. RNAcentral describes it as "partial 16S ribosomal RNA". It matches the Rfam family "Bacterial small subunit ribosomal RNA", at positions 338 to 795 of the family's 1533-position model. The record is from RNAcentral.